UUGGAGGGCAAGUCUGGUGCCAGCAGCCGCGGUAAUUCCAGCUCCAAUAGCGUAUAUUAAAGUUGUUGCAGUUAAAAAGCUCGUAGUUGAAUUUCGGGAUCAAUAUGUCGGUCGUGCCUCUGGUACGUACUGGUAUCAUUGAUUUCUCCCUUCUGACGAACCAUGAUUCCAUUUAUUUGGUGUCAUGGGGAGUUAGGACUGUUACUUUGAAAAAAUUAGAGUGUUUAAAGCAGGCAUUGGCUUGAAUACAUUAGCAUGGAAUAAUGAAAUAGGACGUUUGACCCUAUUUUGUUGGUUUCUAGGAUCAACGUAAUGAUUAAUAGGGAUAGUUGGGGGCAUUAGUAUUCAAUUGUCAGAGGUGAAAUUCUUGGAUUUAUUGAAGACUAACUACUGCGAAAGCAUUUGCCAAGGAUGUUUUCAUUAAUCAAGAACGAAAGUUAGGGGAUCGAAGACGAUCAGAUACCGUCGUAGUCUUAACCAUAAACUAUGCCGACUAGGGAUCGGAUGAUGUUAAUUUUAUAAUGACUCAUUCGGCGCCUUACGGGAAAC
Molecule: ribosomal RNA, 549 nt
Filed under: uncultured Glomus
Lineage: Eukaryota; Fungi; Glomeromycota; Glomeromycetes; Glomerales; Glomeraceae
Description: SSU rRNA
Rfam family: Eukaryotic small subunit ribosomal RNA
Source: RNAcentral